RNAcentral lists this ribosomal RNA (391 nucleotides) under uncultured bacterium. RNAcentral's name for it is "bacterial SSU rRNA". It matches the Rfam family "Bacterial small subunit ribosomal RNA", at positions 29 to 409 of the family's 1533-position model. The record is from RNAcentral.
AAUGAACGCUGGCGGCGCGCCUAAUACAUGCAAGUCGAGCGAGAAGACGUAGCAAUACGUUUGUAAAGCGGCGAACGGGUGUGGAAUACAUGGGUAACCUACCCUAGAGUGGGGAAUAACUAGCCGAAAGGUUAGCUAAUACCGCGUACGCUCCUUGGACUUCGGUUCAGGGAGGAAAGCGAUGCCGAGGGUAUCGCGCUCUUGGAUGGGCUCAUGUCCCAUCAGCUUGNGGUGAGGUAACGGCUCACCAAGGCUUCGACGGGUAGCUGGUCUGAGAGGACGAUCAGCCACACUGGCACUGCGACACGGGCCAGACUCCUACGGGAGGCAGCAGUAAGGAAUAUUGCGCAAUGGGGCGAAAAGCCUGACGCAGCGACGCCGCGUGGGGGGA